GACGCUGGCGGCAUGCUUUACCAUGCAAGUCGAACGGUAACGCGGGCUUCGGCCUGGCGACGAGUGGCGAACGGGUGAGUACAACAUCGGAACGUAUCCUUUAGUGGGGGAUAGCCCGGCGAAAGCCGGAUUAAUACCGCAUGAUCUCUGAGGACCAAGCGGGGGACUUUCGGGCCUCGCGCUGUUGGACGCCGAUGCCG
This 200-nucleotide ribosomal RNA is filed under the name uncultured Burkholderia sp. RNAcentral's name for it is "partial 16S ribosomal RNA". It matches the Rfam family "Bacterial small subunit ribosomal RNA", at positions 32 to 238 of the family's 1533-position model. Lineage: Bacteria; Pseudomonadati; Pseudomonadota; Betaproteobacteria; Burkholderiales; Burkholderiaceae. The record is from RNAcentral.